Aricia agestis (brown argus) is the source of this 782-nucleotide long non-coding RNA. RefSeq lists it as uncharacterized. Lineage: Eukaryota; Metazoa; Arthropoda; Insecta; Lepidoptera; Lycaenidae. The record is from RefSeq and is a predicted model, not a curated record. The transcript has 4 exons.
UCCUCUAAUAUAGUAUUAUAUGAAACUGUUAAUAUUGGUUGGUACACAAACAUCUUUUGCUUCUUUAUAUUUAAAGUAUUGCAGGUAACCAGGGGACUUUAUUCUCAUUUCUUUUCAUUUUAGAUGAUCAAGAUUAUAUUGUAACAAACAAUACAAGCAUCACAGAAAAUAUAGAGCCAUGUACACAGACAUCCAAUCUUCAGGAUGGUCAAGAUAAUAUUAUAACAAAUGAUAUUAGAAACACAGAAAAUACAGAGCGAUGCACAGUGACAUCCAAUCCAAGGGGUGACCAAGAAAUCAUAACAUUUAAUACAUCAAAGAAGCGUAAGCUUUUAAGGUCUACUUCCAAUCCUUCUGAACAAGUUAAACAUAAUUCUAAUUUAAAGGAUCAAUAUUUUAAAAUUAAAGUUCAAAAUGCAAAAAUAGAAAAGAAAUAUCUAAUAAACAAGAAUAAAAUGGCUAUAAACAAGUACAAAUUGGAAAUGGAAAUUCUAAAAUUAAGAUUAAAGAGAAUGCAACCUUCCAAAAAAAUUAGUACUGUAUAAUAAUAUGUAAUAUUAUUAUUACUUUUUUAACCUAAUGUGUAUAUGUAGUUGUUAAGUUGUUACUUGUUGAUUUAGAUUAAACUUUUUUACUGACCUUAUGUUCCUACUAGUAAUAUUUAAUAGUCGUUAACUUUUUACUUGUUGAUCUAUAUAAAAAUUUAAAGUUAUUUUUAAUAAAGGAUAUUUUAUAAAUAAAUUAUUGGUGUUUAAUUUGUAAAAUGUGUAUUUAUUAACAUA